Molecule: ribosomal RNA, 499 nt
Filed under: uncultured bacterium
Lineage: Bacteria
Description: bacterial SSU rRNA
Rfam family: Bacterial small subunit ribosomal RNA
Source: RNAcentral
ACUCAAAGGAAUUGACGGGGGCUCACACAAGCGGAGGAGCAUGUUGUUCAAUUCGAAGCAACGCGAAGAACCUUACCCAGACUUGACAGCUUGGUUGUAAAACUCUGAAAAGGGAAUGACCUUAGGGAGCCAAGUACAGGUGCUGCAUGGCUGUCGUCAGCUCGUGUCGUGAGGCGUUAGGUUAAGUCCUGUAACGAGCGAAACCCUUGUCGUCUGUUGCCAGCGGGUCAUGCCGGGCACUCUGACGAGACUGCCGGUGUUAAACCGGAGGAAGGUGAGGACGACGUCAAGUCAUCAUGGUCCUUACGUCUGGGGCUACAAACGUGCUACAAUGGCGAGUACAGAGAGACGCAAUAUCGCGAGAUGGAGCAAAUCUUCAAAACUCGCCCCAGUUCAGAUUGAAGGCUGCAAUUCGCCUUCAUGAAGUCGGAUUCGCUAGUAAUCGCGGAUCAGCUACGCCGCGGUGAAUACGUUCCUGAGCCUUGUACACACCGCCCGU